This 256-nucleotide ribosomal RNA is filed under the name uncultured bacterium. RNAcentral describes it as "partial 16S ribosomal RNA". It matches the Rfam family "Bacterial small subunit ribosomal RNA", at positions 524 to 776 of the family's 1533-position model. The record is from RNAcentral.
UACGAAGGGGGCGAGCGUUGUUCGGAAUCACUGGGCGUAAAGGGCGCGUAGGCGGCCCCUCUUAGUCGCGUGUGAAAGCCCCGGGCUCAACCUGGGAACGGGCGCGCGAAACGGGAGGGCUGGAGUUCGGGAGAGGAGAGUGGAAUUCCCAGUGUAGAGGUGAAAUUCGUAGAUAUUGGGAAGAACACCGGUGGCGAAGGCGGCUCUCUGGGACCGAGACUGACGCUGAGGCGCGAAAGCGUGGGGAGCAAACAGG